Molecule: ribosomal RNA, 514 nt
Filed under: Trichophaea abundans
Lineage: Eukaryota; Fungi; Ascomycota; Pezizomycetes; Pezizales; Pyronemataceae
Description: eukaryotic LSU rRNA
Rfam family: 5.8S ribosomal RNA (bases 173-326)
Source: RNAcentral
CGCUCAUUAUGAAACCCAUCUGUGUAUUUUACCUGUUGCUUCCGUGGGGCGUUGGCUUCGGCCGCCUCCGAUGAGGGUGAGAGCCCAGACUCGGGGAGUACCCACGGGAGGUAUUAUUAAAACCAUUGCUUUCAAUGAUGUCUGUCUGAAUUGUCUCAAUGAGAAAAGUUAAAACUUUCAACAACGGAUCUCUUGGUUCUCGCAUCGAUGAAGAACGCAGCGAAAUGCGAUAAGUAGUGUGAAUUGCAGAAUUCAGUGAAUCAUCGAAUCUUUGAACGCACAUUGCGCCUCCUGGUAUUCCGGGAGGCAUGCCUGUUCGAGCGUCAUUAAAAACCACUCAAGCGAUUUUGCUUGGUCUUGGAGGAAGAGCAGCCUUCCGGCAGCUCCCCUCUGAAAUACAAUGGCGGAUGGUCCCUUGAGCCCCGACGUAGUAAGAGCAAUCUUUCGUCGGAGAUCUUGGACACUCCUGCCCUCAAUCCCAAACUUUAUUAUGGUUGACCUCGGAUCAGGUAGG